This 265-nucleotide long non-coding RNA is filed under the name Rattus norvegicus (Norway rat). RNAcentral describes it as "long non-coding RNA NONRATT033893". The record is from RNAcentral. Lineage: Eukaryota; Metazoa; Chordata; Mammalia; Rodentia; Muridae.
CAGGAGCAGACGUAUGCAGAAGUCUCUCUCUUCCAGGUACCAGCUACCAGCUCCUUAUCUCCGUGAAGGAAGGCAGACUUGAAACCGAACGACAGAGGGGGGAGCAACUGCCCUAUAGCCCGGCAGGUCUUCAAGUCUGUGGCUGUGGGCAGCAACCCAGCCAAGGAAAGGGAAGCCCUGCAGCACCAGUGCAGGUUAGUGAGAGGAGGAGUGUGCUCCACCCUGGAAGUAGAGCAGAAGCUGGGGAGGCCACUGCUCACCCCCU